CUGAGCUCUUUAUCUUCUCAUAUGUCAAAUUGAGCUCUUCCUCUACACAUAUGUCACACUGAGCUCUGCCUUCACUCAUUUGUCACAAUGAGCACCCCCUCUACUCAUGUGUCAUAUUGAACCCCUCCUUUGCUCAUUUGUCACACUGAGCUCCUCCUGUACACAUGUAUCACAUUGAGUUCCUCCUCCAUUCAUGUUUUACACUGAGCUCCUCCUUCAUUCAUGUGUUGUACUUAGACCCUCUACUGAUGUCACACUGUGCCCCUCCUCCGCUCAUAUGUCACACUGUGCCCCUCCUCCGCUCAUAUGUCACACUAUGCCCCUCCUCUGCUAAAAUGUCACAUUGACCCCCUCCUCCGCUCAUAUGUCACACUGUGCCCCUCCUCCGCUCAUAUGUCACACUGUGCCCCUCCUCCGCUCAUAUGUCACACUGUGCCCCUCCAUUACUCAGGUGUCACACUGAGCCCAUCUUCCACGCACAUAUACUGAGCCCCUUGUCUACUCACAUGUUACACUGAGCCCCGCCUAUGCUCAUAUGUUGCACAGAGGCCCUCUACCCAUAUGGCACCCUGAGCCACUCAUGUGUCACACUGAGCUCUUCAUGUGCCUAUUGAGAUUCUCCUCUGCUUGUGUAUCAUACUGAGCUCCCCCUCUACUCAUGUGUUACACCGAGUCUCUCUUCUACUCAUAUGUCACUCUGAGCCCCUCCCCUACUCAUGUCCCACUGAGCUCCUCCUCUACUCAUGUGUUAUAGUGAACUCCUUCUCUAUUCAUAUGUCAUACUGUGCUCCUCCUUUAUUCUUAUGUCACACUGAGCUCCUCCUCCACUUCUGUGUCUCACUGAGGCCCUCUUCUAAUCAUGUGACACACUGAGCUCCUACUCUACUCAUGUGUCACACUAUGCUUCUCCUCUAUUCAUGUGUCAUCUGAUCCCUCCUCCACUUAUAUGUCACACUGAGCCCUUCCUCAUGUGUCACACCUAGCCCCUCCACUACUCAUAGGUCACACUGACUCCUGUAAAACCCAUGUGUCAUACUGAGCCCUUUCCCACUUGUAUGUCACAUUGAGCCCCUUACACUAAUAUGUCACACUGAGCCCUUCCACUAAUCAUGUGUUGCACUGAGACUCUGUCAAACUAAUGUACAACAUUGAUUAUCUGUCAAUCCUGUGGGCCAUGCUGGUCCCCUCUUCUAUUCAUGUGUCACAUAGAAUCUUUUCUCCUUUCAUGUUUCACAUGGAGCACCUCCUGCACCCAUGUGUCACAAUGAACUCUUCUCUCACUUAAUGUCACAUGUCCCCCUCCCCAUGAUGUACCACAUCCAAUUUCUCUCCAACCCAUGUGUUACACUGAGCACUCCCCCCACUCCUGUGUCAUACUAAGGCUCUCACUCACUCAUGUGUCACAUAGAGUCUCUCCUCCUCUCCUGUCCCAUGUAGACAUACUGACCC
Myotis davidii is the source of this 1449-nucleotide long non-coding RNA. RefSeq lists it as uncharacterized. The transcript is spliced from 3 exons. The record is from RefSeq and is a predicted model, not a curated record. NCBI's taxonomy places the organism in Eukaryota, Metazoa, Chordata, Mammalia, Chiroptera, Vespertilionidae.